UCUGCAUGCCAUCUUACCAGAUUUAAACUAAUGAUCUAUAAUCCGGAAAAAUCGAUAAUCCAGAAUCGCUGAAGUUCAGACGAGUCCGGAUUAAAGACUUUUGACUGUAUAAUGUGUGAAGAUAAAAUACCAGCUACAGACGAGGGUAAAGAAAGGAAUACUUCCUUUUAUGAAAUUAUUUGAAAUGUAUUUCAUGCCAAUUUAUAAUUUAAAUUGAAUAUCACACUUCUGUUUUCUCUAAUGAGAGUCAUAAAUGCACCUCUUCUUAAUUUAAAUUUUCAUAUAUUUACACAAGCAAAAUUAAUUGUUCUAAUUGUUCAGUACAGCAGACUAAUUGUACUGUUGUACUUUAACAUUACGAUACAUCAAAAAAGUUCUAGGCACUGCAUAAAAAAUUUAAGGAAAUAUUGAAUUACAGAGCACAGAAAUGUAUCAAGACUUACGAGAAACACGCCAACGUGGAAAAUAAAGCAAGCAAAUCAACAACCUUGUAUUCAGCGUAGAUUUUGUAAUUCUACUAACAUAAUCCUUAAUUUUUCGUUAUUAUUUCUGCUGACAGAUGGUGCUAUCGGCUCUUCCACUGGUCGCCUGUAGAGUAUAAAUAUGCUCGACAUUCACUUUUGCAGAAUUGUUUUUCUCCUGAUGAAGGGGGACCCGUUCUGCCCUUGAAAUCAAUUGCAAUUUUACAAAAUCUACGCCGAGAGUUGCCAAGGUUUUCGAUUUGCCUGUUUUAUUUUUCACAGAAAAGUAUAUUUUUCACAAACAAUAUAAGUGACCUCAAUAUGAGCAAUGCAUCAAAUAUGAUUAUAAGCACAACUGCCAACCUUGAAAUGCAAAGAAAAACUGGCCUUUUCGGGAGUUUUUUUACACUGUGCAGUGAUGCCAUUUCACAUGAACGCAGAUUUUUAAAUUCACUUUAUAAUGCAUGAUUUAGGGUAUUUAACUAUUUAUAAUAUGAUUCUGAUGUAAAAUACAUUAUUUUUUUAUUAGAUAUUAUAAAUUUUAUGGUUUUGGGCUAACUUCAUUAAUUUUCUUUUAUACAAACAAAAAUCUUUAGUCAAGGGAAGUGUUUAUUUAUCAACGUACUUUCAAAUGCAAUAAAAAUAUAAUUAAUGUACAGUGGCGGACUCCCCCUCCCCAAAAAAACUGCAUCACCUGGAAAAAUAAACAUUUUGUAUUGCCAACACAUUAUUUUAGUUGCUGCAAAGUAAGAUACAAGACCAUUCCACAUUCAUAUUGCAUCAUACAGCUCUUACAAAGUAUUGUGUCACUGAAUUUCUAUAAAUAGCGCAACAAAAGAGAAAAAUGGUCUCACCUCUGUCUUUAAGCAAUGAAAGGAUGGCUCUGUAUGUUCAGUUGAUGCAACGCAAAAAUGUGUGGCAGUGGCUUUAUAUUCAACACUUAUGAUUGCUAAAAAGAUUGGUUGCAAUCUUGAAAGCCAUUAAAAUGGAGCACAAAACUAGAGAUGGUGAGAAAGGCCAGAAGAGGGUGACCACAAAUUCUAAUGAUCAAUACCUAAAACGAAAUAACUGUCAUACAAGUGCUUCUGAUUUAAAUGUUGAAUUUCAGAAACAUGUAAUUUAAGUUCACAAACUGUCUAAAGACGCCUUGCAGAAUGUAGUCAGCAUUCAACCUACAUUUACUGGAUAAUAAGCUGUAUGUUCAGAGAUUCACUUUUACACACAUACAGUAAGCUGUAUGUGUGUAUAAGUUUCACUUUACAGUGUAAAAGUGAAACUUAUUUAUCUACCCUAAAAUUCUCAGAGAGCCAAAUAGUCUGAGCAUGCAUAACCAGCAGAGGGGAUGAAUGCCUAAAUUUAAUAUUCCUGGAACUGUAUAUGCAUUUUUGUACCUAUAUCUUGGAGAAAUGUUUAAAACCAGUUAUUUGGGAUCGUUUUAAAGGUGCUGAAAAUGGAAUUUUUCAUCCAAGUCUGCACCCUGUCAUAAAGAUAUCUCGGUUCAGGUCAAUCUGACAAAAUCUGGUUUUAAAGUUUUGGACUGGCCUGAAAACAGUUCUGACCUGAUUUUCAUUGAAAACUAUUGGCAUCUGAUAGGUAUCAAAAUUGCUAAAAAGCCUGCUACUACGAUUAAGCUGCAGGAAAGCGUUAUUAGGGUUUGAAGGCCAGCUUACAUUCAGAAUUUGAUAUCUUUAAUGCUUGACCACUGCAAAGCACUCACUGCAGCUCCUGGAGGAUUUACUAAAUGGUGAAGUGAUCCUCAAGUGUUUAUACACAUCUAAGUAUAUGUGAUAUGACUGCAAUUAUGUAGAAUUUAUGUUGACUACAGAAUUUGUGCUUUAUUAUUACUACUUGCUACAAUAUUACUUUGCUCAGCAUUUUGUUAAAUACUGCAUUUUUUACUUUUCUGAGUAAUUAAGUGUAAAUAAGUAAUGAAUCCUAAUAAAAUUUGAUUAAGAUUCAUCAUACAACUUUAUUUUAUUAUAACAAUAUGAUUUUUAUAUAGAACAUGCAUGUGAAACACAUUAUUUGCAAAUUUUUCCACUUUUUCACAGUUUUUCGGUCCGCCACCGUCCAUACAGUUGUGUAGAUAAACUUAAUAAUUACCAAAUUAACAAAAAAUUAAAUCUAGCAUAAUAACAAAAAAAGUUAAAUAUAAAUAGUAACUGAUUAGACAUUGUUCGAAUCUUCAUAAAAAAGUUUUAAAAAUUCUAUAGUAGAUUAAGACAAUUCAGAUAAAAUUUAAUAAAAUAUUACACUGAAAACUGUUAGGGGUGAGGGAACAUAAUUUUUACAGCUGAAGUUCCAGUAAUUCAAUAAAUUCUAUUUAUUGUUGAAAAACAGUUUCUUUAGUUAAGGCUAAAAAUUCAAAAAUGGCAGAUUCCAGAUCUGUCUGGAGGUGUAAUGAAAUAGCUGGGGAAUGCCAACAGCUUAUAAGUCAUGCUUUGGUAUAUCAGAAAAUGCCACAUUACAAACAGAAUGAAGACAUUCUACAGUGAACUAGAUAAGUAGGAAAACAGAUUUUUAAAUAUGCAUCGAAAAAUAAGUUUAACAUUAAAAUUAAAAAAAAAAAAAAAAAAA
This 3038-nucleotide long non-coding RNA is filed under the name Stegodyphus dumicola. RNAcentral's name for it is "uncharacterized LOC118199612". Lineage: Eukaryota; Metazoa; Arthropoda; Arachnida; Araneae; Eresidae. The record is from RNAcentral.